This 253-nucleotide ribosomal RNA is filed under the name uncultured bacterium. RNAcentral's name for it is "partial 16S ribosomal RNA". It matches the Rfam family "Bacterial small subunit ribosomal RNA", at positions 524 to 776 of the family's 1533-position model. The record is from RNAcentral.
UACGAAGGGGGCUAGCGUUGCUCGGAAUCACUGGGCGUAAAGGGUGCGUAGGCGGGUCUUUAAGUCAGGGGUGAAGUCCUGGAGCUCAACUCCAGAACUGCCUUUGAUACUGAAGAUCUUGAGUUCGGGAGAGGUGAGUGGAACUGCGAGUGUAGAGGUGAAAUUCGUAGAUAUUCGCAGGAACACCAGUGGCGAAGGCGGCUUACUGGUCCAUAACUGACGCUGAGGUGCGAAAGCGUGGGUAGCAAACAGG